Acanthosepion pharaonis is the source of this 96-nucleotide non-coding RNA. Lineage: Eukaryota; Metazoa; Mollusca; Cephalopoda; Sepiida; Sepiidae. The record is from the annotation of a GenBank genome assembly.
AAAUCAUCAAUUCCCGUUCGAUCACCAAAGUUAAGCAACUUAUAGCCUUGUCAGUACCUAGAUGGGUGACCAUUUGGGAAUAUCAGAUGCUGUAAG